Molecule: non-coding RNA, 45 nt
Filed under: Schistosoma haematobium
Lineage: Eukaryota; Metazoa; Platyhelminthes; Trematoda; Strigeidida; Schistosomatidae
Source: RNAcentral
AUCCAGUUGGCGAGUCCGAAAUAGGACGAAACGUGCGUUCUAGAU